GUGCUCGCUUCAGCAAUACAUAUAAUAAAAUUGGAAUGAUACAGAGAAGGUUAGCAUGGCUUCUGUGCAAGGAUGACACAAAUUCAUGAAACAUUCCAUUUAAAA
Molecule: small nuclear RNA, 105 nt
Organism: Pongo pygmaeus (Bornean orangutan)
Lineage: Eukaryota; Metazoa; Chordata; Mammalia; Primates; Hominidae
Source: RefSeq, a predicted model, not a curated record